AGACGUCUACAUUAGAUACCCGGGUAGUCCCAGCCGUAAACUAUGCGCGUUAGGUGUAUCGGUGACCACGAGUUACCGAGGUGCCGAAGGGAAACCGUGAAACGUGCCGCCUGGGAAGCACGGUCGCAAGGCUGAAACUUAAAGGAAUUGCGGGGAGCACCACAACAGGUGGAGCCUGCGGUUUAAUUGGACUCAACGCCGGGAAGCUCACCGGAUAGGACAGCAGAAUGAUUGCCGGGCUGAAGACCCUGCAUGACUAGCUG
This 263-nucleotide ribosomal RNA is filed under the name uncultured archaeon. Its description in RNAcentral is "partial 16S ribosomal RNA". It matches the Rfam family "Archaeal small subunit ribosomal RNA", at positions 717 to 982 of the family's 1478-position model. The record is from RNAcentral.